AGUGAAGCGGCAACAGCUCAAAUUUGAAAUCUGGCCCCCAGGGUCCGAGUUGUAAUUUGCAGAGGAUGCUUUUGGCAAGGUGCCUUCCGAGUUCCCUGGAACGGGACGCCAUAGAGGGUGAGAGCCCCGUCUGGUUGGAUACCGAGCCUCUGUAAAGCUCCUUCGACGAGUCGAGUAGUUUGGGAAUGCUGCUCUAAAUGGGAGGUAUAUGUCUUCUAAAGCUAAAUAUUGGCCAGAGACCGAUAGCGCACAAGUAGAGUGAUCGAAAGAUGAAAAGCACUUUGAAAAGAGGGUUAAAUAGUACGUGAAAUUGUUGAAAGGGAAGCGCUCAUGACCAGACUUGGGCCCGGUGAAUCAUCCAGCGCUCGUCGCUGGUGCACUUUGCCGGGCUCAGGCCAGCAUCAGUUCGCUCCGGGGGACAAAGGCUCUGGGAAUGUGGCUCCUCCGGGAGUGUUAUAGCCCACUGCGCAAUACCCUGGGGCGGACUGAGGUUCGCGCAUUCGUGCAAGGAUGCUGGCGUAAUGGUCAUCAGUGACCCGUCUUGAAACACGGACCAAGGAGUCGUCUUCGUAUGCGAGUGUUCGGGUGUAAAACCCCUACGCGUAAUGAAAGUGAACGCAGGUGAGAGCUUCGGCGCAUCAUCGACCGAUCCUGAUGUUCUCGGAUGGAUUUGAGUAAGAGCAUACGGGGCCGGACCCGAAAGAAGGUGAACUAUGCCUGUAUAGGGUGAAGCCAGAGGAAACUCUGGUGGAGGCUCGCAGCGGUUCUGACGUGCAAAUCGAUCGUCAAAUAUGGGCAUGGGGGCGAAAGACUAAUCGAACCUUCUAGUAGCUGGUUUC
This 839-nucleotide ribosomal RNA is filed under the name Keithomyces carneus. Its description in RNAcentral is "partial large subunit ribosomal RNA". It matches the Rfam family "Eukaryotic large subunit ribosomal RNA", at positions 92 to 958 of the family's 3401-position model. The record is from RNAcentral. Lineage: Eukaryota; Fungi; Ascomycota; Sordariomycetes; Hypocreales; Clavicipitaceae.